UCGCCUGUUUAUCAAAAACAUUAUGCACGAACCCAUAUUUUGUGCAUAUUACGUGUCAAGGUCACUGUUCUUAUACAGUGUUAGCUUGCCGUGCUUCUUUUAUGUUGACUUGCAAGGCGUCUCUUAUUAUUUACCUUCUGCAAAUAUUGGCUGACGUGCACAUUUCGUCUGGUCUACUGACUUGCGAGCCAGCAAACAGGUUUCUUUGAAACUUGUUACACUCUGUUUUUCUUUCAGCAGGAAAAUGACGCCGCAUCUCUGUGUAAUCGGUUUCCUGACGUUUAGGGAUAACAGCGUAA
This 299-nucleotide ribosomal RNA is filed under the name Odontotermes yadevi. RNAcentral's name for it is "partial 16S ribosomal RNA". The record is from RNAcentral. Lineage: Eukaryota; Metazoa; Arthropoda; Insecta; Blattodea; Termitidae.